This 796-nucleotide ribosomal RNA is filed under the name Glaciibacter kafniensis. RNAcentral's name for it is "bacterial SSU rRNA". It matches the Rfam family "Bacterial small subunit ribosomal RNA", at positions 18 to 822 of the family's 1533-position model. Lineage: Bacteria; Bacillati; Actinomycetota; Actinomycetes; Micrococcales; Microbacteriaceae. The record is from RNAcentral.
CAUGGCUCAGGACGAACGCUGGCGGCGUGCUUAACACAUGCAAGUCGAACGAUGACGGAGAGCUUGCUCUUCUGAUUAGUGGCGAACGGGUGAGUAACACGUGAGCAAUCUGCCCUUGACUCUGGGAUAAGCGUUGGAAACGACGUCUAAUACCGGAUACGACCUUGGAAGGCAUCUUCUGGGGUGGAAAGAAUUUUGGUCAGGGAUGAGCUCGCGGCCUAUCAGCUAGUUGGUGAGGUAAUGGCUCACCAAGGCGACGACGGGUAGCCGGCCUGAGAGGGUGACCGGCCACACUGGGACUGAGACACGGCCCAGACUCCUACGGGAGGCAGCAGUGGGGAAUAUUGCACAAUGGGCGAAAGCCUGAUGCAGCAACGCCGCGUGAGGGACGACGGCCUUCGGGUUGUAAACCUCUUUUAGUAGGGAAGAAGGGAGCUUGCUCUUGACGGUACCUGCAGAAAAAGCACCGGCUAACUACGUGCCAGCAGCCGCGGUAAUACGUAGGGUGCAAGCGUUGUCCGGAAUUAUUGGGCGUAAAGAGCUCGUAGGCGGUUUGUCGCGUCUGCUGUGAAAACCCGAGGCUCAACCUCGGGCCUGCAGUGGGUACGGGCAGACUAGAGUGCGGUAGGGGAGAUUGGAAUUCCUGGUGUAGCGGUGGAAUGCGCAGAUAUCAGGAGGAACACCAAUGGCGAAGGCAGAUCUCUGGGCCGUAACUGACGCUGAGGAGCGAAAGCAUGGGGAGCGAACAGGAUUAGAUACCCUGGUAGUCCAUGCCGUAAACGUUGGGAACUAGAUG